UUUGUAAAAUGUGGAGGCUUGGGUUUGUUCACUAACUUGUCGGCUGGUGGGACACUCCCUACUUCUCCCGUUUAAGUUGAAUUUUAAUUGUGUUUACAUGAUACAACACUGUACUUGCUUCUUUGCACAGCGUAUCAGUUUGCAAAAGCCUCUGUUUUUCAGGAUGGUUGUUCAUUUAAAGGAGGGCCUAAACCAAAGUGCAUCUUUAUAGUAUUUGUGGAUUAAUCCCACAGAAGGAGUGUAGAUGCGCUCUUAAUACUUUCUUCCUAGUUCCAUAAAAAGGGCUUUAAUUGGGGGGCAGGCCGCUGUGUAAGUUUGUCCAGAAAUGUGUUUGAGUCGUAUCCACCGUGUCCCUGGUGAGUAAAGAUCAAUACUAAGGUAAUAUUUUUAUUAAUUGCUAAAGACUGUUGUUUGCUUUUAAUAGAAAGGUGCGUCUCUGUUGGAACUAUCCCUGGAGUCAUCCACAAAAUGCAGUGAACCACCACCAGAGGGAGCCCUGAUUCUAACGUCAGAACACAAGGAUCCAUAAUCAUCGUCAUCUCUGCUAAGAGGUCUACAGCUACAAUGACAGAUGAUCCACAGACCUCUGAUCCAAAAACAUUCCUGGAGUGUGGCCCAUCAGAUGCUGUCGCCCAUAUGAGAGGAAGAGGUGAACGAGGCCUGGUCCAAUAAGAGACUCGGGCCAACACAAGGGAGAAGGCCUUCAGUCUGUGUAAUCUGCUGUGACUCUGAAGUUCAGUCUAAUCAAAACUAAAGCACCACUCCUGAUGAAGAUCUCCAG
Molecule: long non-coding RNA, 781 nt
Organism: Boleophthalmus pectinirostris (great blue-spotted mudskipper)
Lineage: Eukaryota; Metazoa; Chordata; Actinopteri; Gobiiformes; Gobiidae
Exons: 3
Source: RefSeq, a predicted model, not a curated record